GGGGAACAGUCACACCCGUUUUAAUUGUAAUUUUGGAAAGACUGGCUGAUUUUAUUAUCAUUUUUUUUGAGGGGCUGGAUUGAUUGCGUGAUGAGGUGCUGCAUGCACCAGGAUGCACACUGCGCUAAUCUAUAUUAAUCUGGAGUUUAAAUUUGGAGUUCGUCAUCCAUAACUCCGUGAUGAAUCAGAGUCAUUUGGGGGGGUAAAAAGGGGUGACGUAUGCGACUUUUCUAAAAAAGAAACAUAUUACCCGUGACAUAAUUGUUGUGCAGGAUAUAUCGCACCAGGAAGGUUUUAUUCAUUUUACACGUGCAGUAUUCAUACUUUGUGCAGGUGUUUAACAUGUCGGAUAACCUUCAAGGUCAGUCCUUAAUAAGUAAUAAGAAAUAAGCAAAUUAGUGCAUAACUACCGAAGCGUGUCUGUUUGCGCGAAUAUAUUCAAGGCGUCAUUUUCCUUUAAGCCGUAAUCGCUGUAUUCAACAAUAACGACGACAAAUAAAGAUGCAGAUUAUUAAAAUCUCACAUGAAUAAUAAGGUCAUAAUCCUGCAUUCGUUUUUAGUAAAGGAACGAAUCCGUCGCGUCACUGGUGGUCCGUUGUGUGUGGGCGUGGCCGGUCCAGCACCCUCUACCUUCUUAAGCUAACGCGUUGGAAAACAAGUCAAAUAACACGCUAAUUAGCGCGAGAAUCUUUUUGAACGACGCGAUGAACGAUCACCUGUCGCGUUGUCGCUCGCUGGUGCAAAAACCUGGAGUUUUUAAACGUGUUUUGUCGCUGGGGAAAUGUAGCCGCGGAAAAAGUUUCGGAAAUCUUAUAAGUAAGAAGAUUUUUGUCGAAGGUUUUUAUUAGGUUAAGACGUGUCGUGGUGUAAUAACGUGAUAAACAAAUACGUCCUGGUGGAAUUUAGGUUAAAAGCGAUCCUAGUAAAAAAGACAAAAUCAGCACGGAAGCUAAAUUUAUGUCAAUGGAUUUCGGAAUCGCGCGCUUUGCCGUGUAGCUGUCGUGAUCGUCCUCGUAUUAUAGAUAAAUAAUUCUUAAAAAAAAAAAAAAACCCUGAACAAUGUCUGGAAAUCUACCGUAAACUCUAAAACAAGGUAAGCUAAGCUACGUAGCUAUGUUUAGGGAAAUGAGUAAAAUCUGCAGAUUUGUACUUGGUGAAAAAGACAGAUCUCUGGUUUAACGUUAGCUUGAAAAAGUUUAGUCUUGGAAGAAUAAAUGCAGAAAGUUUCUAACCAGCCACUCGUAGAUGAACUUGUAUUGAAUGAUUUCAUAGCUACAUAGUAGCUCGAUUAAUUAGCUAGUGCUCCGGGAAACUAAAAGAUUCAUCGUACCUGCCGUGUUUUUAUGUUUCGGCUGCACGGAAACUUUAACUAGGAUGCAAUGCUAGCUAAUGUGAUUCUAACCCGAAGUACGACGAGCUACGGGUUAGCACUAGAAACCUCCGGACCUGGUCUGUAUUUCCUCCUGAACGAGGGCCGUAUUCAGAGUCGUGAUCAGGUCCAAAAAGUUCGAUGUUCACGCGAGGGAAGUUCCUGGUGUUCAGAGUUGGGUUACACCGCUGAUUAAGAGCUGCACGUUCGGAUUAUUAAAAUCACCCGCGUGUAGCUGACGUUUCUAGGCGUGGCUCGAGUGGAAGCGUACGAGGCUGGGUUUCUCAGUAGCGGCCCGAUCACACGAGCGUUCUCCUUUACACCUGAAGUGAUCGAGGACUGAAGAAGCGUUACGGGGAAUAGCCAUGAAAUAAGAUGUCACCCGUGUGAUACUGCAUGAAUAGUCCUAGUUGUAGUUCUCUCAUUGAUUCCAUCGAAACAAAAUGGCUUCCACACUCAUGACUCGGCAGCACGUACCGUAGAAUAGCACCUGAUCCAGCGCGGACUGUUUCGAUACGUGUCACACGUGCACACAGCUGAGUGACGUGAUAGUAAAUCCAGGUCAUGAAAUUCCCCUCCGCUGAUGUUCGAAACUGACCGAUCGAGCGCCGCCGCCGAAUCUGGGUCAACGUUAGCGAGACAUAUGGCAGGCUGGGUCAUACCGUGUAUCGUCCGACCAUUUUUCAUUCCCGUCGCAGCGGUCUUUUGUGCUUCUCGAGGUUUCGAUUGCUCACUUUAUGCAAAUAUGUUUAGACUCCACCACGAGCGCGCGGUAAGGAUCCAGAGGACGUGGCGCGCCGCCGCGUAGCGCCCGCUGUGAGUUCAGACCGAGACUAAUGCUUCUCGACGGAGCACUUGUCAUAUUUUUUUCUUUGUGAAGUGUUCUGUACAAAGCUCUAGGCAGAUAUUAAUGGAGUUUAAUAACCCACUUUCUGCAUUUCCAUUUUGUUAAAGUCUUCUCUAAUACAGGACGCCGCUCUUAUUCAGCAGGAGAUAAUUAUUUUAAACCGCUUGUUGCUUCAUGGCAUGACCGACACCACAGAGUGUUUAUUAAUGCACUGCGUUCUGGAGCCACAGUGGACUCUCUGUUUCGCCCCCAAGCUGGUGAAAGGCGCUCGAUGUAACACGAACACAAAGCGCACCAGGCUUGCUCUUUGUGUUUUAUUUUCCUUGUCGGAUGACGUCUCGGGGUCUACACAGACCUCGCUGAGUUCUCCGUCAUCCAGUCCGAGAGAGAUGUGAAUCACGGACGCGGAGAGAGUUCGUCCGUUCGUCACACGAUCUUCUCAUGGUCCUCGGGGUUCUCUGUCGUCCGUGCCGUUCCGCGUCUUCUGUGAAGUAUGGACGCGAGACAGAACCGGCGUUCUAGCGUUUACGUGGAAAUAUGACGUGAACGGUUCAGUGGUCCCGAGACGGAAGAGUUACUGCAGUGGAAUAUGAAUGAAAAGGUUCCUCUUGGAUAUGGCACGGUUCUCCGGUUCUUGGAUCUGCUCUGUUGUCAGGUUCUACGUUGAAUCUUUCAAACUUUUUUUUCAAGAGUGCAGACGACUCGUUCUUGUGGAUGUCAGCGCUUCAAGUUCGGCGAUGUCGACUAGUCGAGUGUUGAUGUUGACGUGGGUGUGAAAGUCCGGCUAAGUGUCAUUUUGAUCAUACGGCGUCUUUUUGUAGUAAUGUUCCAGCACAUCCGUGAGAACGUGGUGAUUUCUCCCAGCGGUUUUAGCUCAGUUCUAGCUGGGGAGGUGUUUCCAACCUCAGGUUUAGCCUAUGAUGUCAUAGCAACAUGGCUGCUCAUAUCAUCAGCAGUAAAUAAAAAAGCUUCUAUAUCUAAUAGAGUAUUCGCUUUGAGAAGGAACAUCAUCAUUUAGUUAUAAGCACCAACGUUAGCUGGCUAGCCUGUUGCUCAGAAAAGACAAGCUGUAACUGAGGCGUCCAUGCCCCCCCCCCCCCCCCCCCCCCCCAAAUAUAGAUCAAACAAGGUGGAGCUCGGAAAGGGCGCCAUUUCCAAGUUACGGCUUUCCCCUUCCGGGGUAAAUCAGGUCUUCGUCUUUAGCUAAUAAUGUUUGUUGCACGUUUUUAAUAGUUUAAAAAGUUCUGUUCUCUCGGAUCUAAACGUCCAGCCUGAUCUUUGAGGAGGUCAUGCAGGUGCUCAAGGAGAAGAUCCGUUCCCCCCGCCGAACUCCUUUAUCUAUUAUCGUAACAGAGAAGUGUGAGGGACUGGAAGAACGUGUGCGGGUCAUGUUAGCGAGGGCGUCGUAAACACACAGCCGUUCCUAACGAUCUGUCCAAUUAGCAGCGUCCGUGCCCCAGUUGUUCACCGUAGCCGUGAAGAAGGUCGUUAAAAUCCUGAGCCGAGACGCGGCCACGCCGCAGAGCCACGUGCGGUCCGGCGGGUGAACGAGGAGGCGGCGGACAGUGACGGAUGGCGGCGAGGUGGUGAAUGGGUCGGGCUCAGGAGGUGGUAAGGGGGCGGGGUUUUGAGAAACCGCACCGUUACCGAGACCCAUAAAUGAACCACGAAUGCUUUUAUUUAUCUUUUUACCUUCUCCUUUCAUUUCUUUAUUUUCUCUGCCUUGCGCCUGGGAUUCGCUCCUCUCCGGAACCGUUCGGGUUCUCCCCGAAUUUCUCUGUUUUCGCUUGCAUUCCCACUCCUGUGGGGUUUUUUGUUGUUUUUUUUUGUCCUCGUGGGCCUCCUCUUGAAUCCGUGAGCAUGUAUUGAACAUAAAUGAAUCUUUCUGCUCACUUCUUUUAUUGUUGUUCUGCUUCCUUUUGGGAUUGAAGUGAAGGAGCUGCCUGUAUUCGACUCCUCAGGCGAUGGUGCUCGUCUGCCUUUGAGACUUUGCGUUAAGAAGAUCUUAGUGACUGCACCGUUCUUCGGAUCUUAAGUCUUGUCUGUGGCUCUGCGCCCGGCGUUUUCAUUUUCAUGACGGAAAAUAGGGCGGGCCGAGUCGAGGAAGGCGAGGCGAGUCGCGUCGUAUCGAAACGUGUCGUUCGCGGUCCCACCGGCCGGCCCGAUGUCACCUGGCACUACCUUGUUGGCUUACCUGAUGGUCAGGAUCUAGAACACGGUGACUAAGGAGUUCAAGUGCACUUACGUCAUGAAGAACCCCAAGCUGACUCGAUGCCUGUGUGUUAGACGUCAGUGCUUUGGACAGUAAGGGGACGGUUUAGGAUCUACUCUGUUGGAUAUUUAAAUUAUAGCGUAUAAGAUGUGCACGGUGUACAUCGCGACGUUGCCAAGACACUAGCGUAUACUAAAGACGUUAACCCCGGAGGUCUUAUUAAACAAGUAUUCCAUCACCACACCGGCUUUCACUCCUCAGAAACACCCUCCUACUGCCAGCGUGCUGCGUCUUCAGAAGUCAGCCACGUGGAGGUGCUUCAGAUUCAGAUCAGGUUUCUGAGACGUUAGAUUCAGACGUGACUCGGUAUCUUUCCUAAAUGCGAAGACAUCUACUACAAGUGUCAACAAAGACCAAAGUUGUGUCUUAAAAAAAAAAAAUUCAAAAAUUGAUAAAACGUAACUCUUGGAGUUUGACGCUUGUGGGCGUGGCCUGGUGUAUGAAUGUAUGUAACGAUGUAUGAAUCAAUAUAAAAUUCAUAAACAGCAUGACGGUCUUACUUUUUGUUUAGAUUUAAAAAAAAAAAAUUCUCGCUAAACUCAAGAUGGCGCUUCUUCCGUUUUUGAGGUAGGAACUCGGGGAACUUUUAAGAAAGCGUUGUGUUUUUCUUGGUGAAAAAGGACAACUGGCUGUAGGGUUGGGCCAAGGAGUUCACCAGUGUGGACAAAAGUAAUGGCACCCUAAAAUCGCAGUGUCUGAGCUGGAAGAUUUAGCACACGGCAUGUUUAGGAGGUCCUCUUUCACCUUUUAGUCACCGCUUUGCCGUUUUCAGCUUUUUGUGGGCGUGGCUAAAUGUAAAUGAUUGAAUUUACGGCCGAUGGGCGUACGCAGGUGAUUACUCAGCUUCGGUAUUUUGGGACUGUUUCCCCCGCG
Ictalurus punctatus (channel catfish) is the source of this 5361-nucleotide long non-coding RNA. NCBI's taxonomy places the organism in Eukaryota, Metazoa, Chordata, Actinopteri, Siluriformes, Ictaluridae. The record is from Ensembl.